Ornithodoros turicata is the source of this 376-nucleotide long non-coding RNA. RefSeq lists it as uncharacterized. Lineage: Eukaryota; Metazoa; Arthropoda; Arachnida; Ixodida; Argasidae. The transcript is spliced from 4 exons. The record is from RefSeq and is a predicted model, not a curated record.
UGCAGGCUCAAGGGAGUUCGACGCCUCCAGGAUCCUCUCUGGGCCCUAUUUGCGUGGCUGGAUCUACCAAAGUUCGUUAGUGAAUGCGAGGCCAUCCCUAGUGUAGCCUCCAGGGAGAUCGACGCCUCUAGGAUCCUCUCUGGGCCCUAUUCACGUGGCUGCAUCCACCAGAGGUGACCUUCUAAGGCUUCAUGAGUUGGACCUCCUUCUGGCGGUGCAGGCACAGGAAGCUCGACCCCUUGAGGCUUCUCUCUGGCCCUUAUUCGCGUGGCUGGAUCCGCCAGAGGCCCCAGGAAGUUCGACGCAUGCAGGCUCCUCUCUGGGCCCUAUUCGCGUGGCUGGAUCCUACAGAGGUUGGCUUGUAAGGCUUCAUGAG